AUUGCUCUGUGAGGGGACUGCACGCCUGGGAGGAGCAUUGCUGAAGUGUUGAAAUUUCUACCUGCCCAUUCCCUUCCUUCAGGUUUCCUUCUUACUGUAGCGAUGGCACCUCAGCAACUACACCUCUGUAUCUGCUACAGGAGGGAACCCUGCUGAAGGCUGCCUUUGUGCUCAUCAGGUAUUUUAGUAGAACUGUAGUUUGAGCCAUUCAGAUUAGUCUUAAAAGCCAUCCACAGCGUUUGGAGAAUUCCUUUCUGUCAGCACAUGCCAGCGGACACGAGGUAGCCAUGGUAUGGAGGACAGUCUGACUAACCCUAUGUGACCCUUCCAACCUGGAUGGACCUUCAUCUAUCAAGUUCCACAUCCUUGUACCUUGUAUAAAGACACCUUGGAGGGUGAGAGGCCCUGAUCAACACCUUGGUCACUGCACAAGUACAGAGGAAGGAUCAGUCACAGACAGCAGGCAAAUCUUAACACCGCUGGAAAAGGGAUACCGAGCAACCUUGUUUGGCCAGCAUUGCAGGAGCAGAAAGUCUACAGUGACAGAGGCAAUGGAGUCUCCUGAGACUUGCAAAAACUGGUCACUGCUGUGUGUAGGUGUGCAUUUAAUUGCACCCUGAGGUAUCAGCCUUCUUCCAACAGAGGUCUGGGCUCUCCUCAGUACCAAAAUGGGCCUCUUACAGUCAGCUGGCAUAUCUGUUCUCUAGCCCGCUUCAGGGUUGCUCUUAAGUUACACUGAGGCUGAAAUUGGAGGGACGAAGAUAUCUGGCACAAGACACAGCAAGAAAACAUCAUCUGGGCUAAGAGAAGAUUUAUUAAAGGAAUGCCUUUCAAAGACCAUCAAAAGGCAUCUCAUUGGUAUGUAACGGAACCACUCUUCUUCUUUAUGAAAAAAGAAACACAUCUGGCUUCAAAACUGGGCAACACUACCAAAAAACCAAACCACCCAACCAGGAAAGGAGAAGUGGAAAUUUGCGGCACUCUAGGGGCUGAGGCUGAAUACUACCUGAGCUGAUGCGCUCAUCAUUUUUUGUACAACAGUUUCCCACUUCAGGUUUGCUCAACUUUCUUGAUUUUGGUACUAAAUACCAAAUUUGAUGCACUGGCCCUUCAAAGAUCUCUGAAGUGGGGCUAUUUGUUUCAGUAGGACCAGAAAUUUAUUUAGAUUUCUUUCCCCUUAGGAGGUAUCGACUCUAUUUUUUUAUUGAUUUCCAUUGAUUUUUUUCUUUUUACCAGAAUGAUUUUUGUGAUGCUUUUCCUCAAAUAUCCCAGAUUGUAAGCCAUCCCACUUAUGUCCUAUAUAGUCCUAAUAAGUAUAUAGCAGACUUAAAAAGCUUACACGAGUGUCAUUAUUUCAGUGCAACCUACUCAUUCUUCGGAAUUAGAAAAUGAGAAGAAUCUCCAGCAUGAAACAUUUACUCAUCAAGAGAUUUCCAAUUCUUUGUUCUAUUUUCAAGAGGAUCGCCAAAUGGAGAAGUUAAUAGUAUAGAUUUACACCUGAACUGAAUACUGGAUGUCCCCAAAGGGCAAACAUUAAAGCAUUAAACCUGCUCAAGGGGAAAUGGCCAUAAACUGAAGCUUAGGAUGUUCCACAGCAUAUGUGAAAGAACUUCUUCACGGUGAGGGUGACGGAGCACUGGACCAGGCUGCCCAGGGAGGUGGUGGAUUCUCCUUCUCUGGAGUUAUUCAAGGCCCACCUGGAUGCCUAGCUGUGCAGCCUGCUGUAGGGAGCCUGCUUUGCAGAGGGGUUGGACUCAAUGAUCUCUAGAGGUCCCUUCCAAUUCUGUGAUUUCACUUUUGCUUCCUAAUUUCCUAAUUUCCUAAUUCACAGACUGAUAAUUUGAACUAUGAACUUCUCAACAUAAACGCAUACAUUGAAGGAGACAGCAUGGGGAAAGUGAGGGUUUUUCCCUUGGAUGUAUGUAUUUUCA
Molecule: long non-coding RNA, 1931 nt
Organism: Gallus gallus (chicken)
Lineage: Eukaryota; Metazoa; Chordata; Aves; Galliformes; Phasianidae
Source: Ensembl